AAGACCUUGCACUUUUGGAGCGGCCGAUGUCUGAUUAGCUAGUUGGUGGGGUAAUGGCCUACCAAAGCUUCGAUCAGUAGCUGGUCUGAGAGGACGGCCAGCCACACUGGGACUGAGACACGGCCCAGACUCCUACGGGAGGCAGCAGUGGGGAAUUUUGGGCAAUGGGCGCAAGCCUGAUCCAGCCAUGCCGCGUGAGUGAAGAAGGCCUUCGGGUUGUAAAGCUCUUUCAGUCGGGAAGAAAAGGUUGCGACUAAUAAUCGCAAUUCAUGACGGUACCGGAAGAAGAAGCACCGGCUAACUACGUGCCAGCAGCCGCGGUAAUACGUAGGGUGCGAGCGUUAAUCGGAAUUACUGGGCGUAAAGGGUGCGCAGGCGGUUUUGUAAGUCAGAUGUGAAAUCCCCGGGCUUAACCUGGGAACU
RNAcentral lists this ribosomal RNA (423 nucleotides) under uncultured bacterium. RNAcentral describes it as "bacterial SSU rRNA". It matches the Rfam family "Bacterial small subunit ribosomal RNA", at positions 207 to 622 of the family's 1533-position model. The record is from RNAcentral.